AAAGCAGCACCGUUUCAGUUUGCUGGCAGGAUUUUCCUCUUUUGACCCUGAAACGCCGCCUCUGCAACUCAGCAUCCUUUAUCUCAAAUGUGCAGGAAUUCUUUCAUGUCUAGGCCUGGAAGGGAUUUCAAACAACCAAACAAACAGAUUUGCAGCCAGUCGGAUAAUUAAAGUGGAUCAGCCAAGUUCUGAUUCUCUUUGUACUCUGGGCAAAAAUUUAAGGGAAGGAAAACAAGAAAGGAGGAUGGCUGUGGGGGAGACUAGGCUGUGGACACCGCCUGAAUUCUGUCUCUUUUCCUGCAAAAAUAAUUCUCCAAGGGGAAAGCUUGGUGGUCAGGCCUAGCCUUCACCUGUGAGCAGGCCAAAGGAGCAGGACAGCACAGCCAUCCUUCUCCCUGUUCAUUAUGAAGAUUUCAGAUGAAGACCUACGAACCAGACAUGGACCCUGAAUCCUUGGAGAUCUGCUCACGAGAGAGGCAGAGAUUCCUGUGCGUUUCUUCCUAAUCCAUCGUACUUGUUUUGCUGUUGACCUAACAAAUCUGAUAUUUCUAGAGGUUAUUCUGCCUUCAAAUGCCUCUAUAUUUGCACAUUUCAAGCACUCUCAUUUUUCCCCACAGCUGUCAUCUAAAACAGUCUUGCUGCUGAAGGAGAGUGGGAGGGGAAAAUACAUACGGUAAUAGAAAAUGGCUGCUCCCUUAUGGCAUUUGUGUUUACUUGCCAUGGGAUAGGGAAGAACUCAGUGGUGGUAGCCCGCUCCCCUGGCCCAUGGAGACAAUGCUUGCACCAUUAUUUGAUGUGUGUUCCUGAAGCUUAUGCCAUAGGAAGUCAAGUCUAGUGGUUAGAGCAGGAGGGCUCUGUUCCAGACUAUGCCUUGAACUUGCUGCAUAGCUGUGAGAAAUUCCCUUAAUCUCAUGCUUCUGCAGUAGUGAAAAGAGGAUUAUGCUGUGUUUAGUUACCCAUCUUGUGCAGUGUCAGGCGUCAGGGCACCCAGUAAACUAAUUAGUCCCCAGCUGCCCCUUGUUACCUGCAUGGGCCUACUGCCAAUUGCCUAACAACCCCCAGCUGGCCCCAGUUGCUUGCAUGGGACAAACAGCAGCUCUUUCAAGAUCCAUUAGAUUACUCUGUAGAAUAUACACCUCUAUCUCGCCCUGGGCUUCUGGCUCCUUGCUUCUAGUUCUCUGGAUGCUGCUUGUUGGCUUCCUGGCUUCACCCUUGGUCCUGCCCCCCCAGCUUCUGACUUACUGGCUCUUGACUCUCUCACCCCUGUGCUUCUGGAUCCAUCCCAGACCCCUGUCUUCUGACAACUGGUUUGUGGCUUUAGUUUGGCAAUCGCCCAUUGCCUCUGUCAUGCCCAUGAUAUGGGGUGAGGAGCUGUGAGUCACCAGGUAAAAUAUGUUGAGGUCUGCAGAUGAAAGGAGCUAUGGGUGAGGGGGUGUAAAGUGUCUGUUAGUAGUAUGUCAGUACUCUUCAUCUGUAAUCUCAAAGCACCAUGUUGAGGUAAAUUAGAAUUACUGCCACUGUUUCAAAUGGGGAAAGGAAGCAGAGGAAAAUGAGGGGACUCACUUAAGGUCUUACAGUGGAUCAGGGCAGAAAUAAGAGUAUGACCCACAGCUCUCUGCUCCAUUGGCUACCUGAGAAUCCCCCAAGGAUGCAAGUGCUGCUGAGUAAAGGUGACCCUAUAAAAUGAGAAUAAAGCAUUGGGAAGCUACAGAGCUGUUAGUGCUUGAGUGCCCCGUGGUAACCUAAAAGAGGGACUGGAAGGUGAUCAAUGCAUUGACUGCAUGUAGAGAAUCCACCCACAGGACUGACUCCAGGAUACAAGGCUGAGCUGGGUCCAGCUGGAUCUGUAAAGAGGACUGUAUGGAAAUAUACCUGCCAUGUGCCAUAUUCCCUGUAGUGACAACUCUCCAUCCAUCCAUCUGGGCGUCUAUACCAUGAUCAUCACAGGAGUAGCUGAGCCCAUUACAAAAUGUCACUAUUUUUUCA
Molecule: long non-coding RNA, 1986 nt
Organism: Alligator mississippiensis (American alligator)
Lineage: Eukaryota; Metazoa; Chordata; Crocodylia; Alligatoridae
Exons: 3
Source: RefSeq, a predicted model, not a curated record